RNAcentral lists this ribosomal RNA (264 nucleotides) under uncultured Staphylococcus sp. Its description in RNAcentral is "partial 16S ribosomal RNA". It matches the Rfam family "Bacterial small subunit ribosomal RNA", at positions 99 to 354 of the family's 1533-position model. Lineage: Bacteria; Bacillati; Bacillota; Bacilli; Caryophanales; Staphylococcaceae. The record is from RNAcentral.
CGGACGGGUGAGUAACACGUGGAUAACCUACCUAUAAGACUGGGAUAACUUCGGGAAACCGGAGCUAAUACCGGAUAAUAUAUUGAACCGCAUGGUUCAAUAGUGAAAGACGGUUUUGCUGUCACUUAUAGAUGGAUCCGCGCUGCAUUAGCUAGUUGGUAAGGUAACGGCUUACCAAGGCAACGAUGCGUAGCCGACCUGAGAGGGUGAUCGGCCACGACUGGAACUGAGACACGGUCCAGACUCCUACGGGAGGCAGCAGGC